Molecule: ribosomal RNA, 120 nt
Filed under: uncultured bacterium
Lineage: Bacteria
Description: partial 16S ribosomal RNA
Rfam family: Bacterial small subunit ribosomal RNA
Source: RNAcentral
GACGAACGCUGGCGGCGUGCUUAACACAUGCAAGUCAAGGGGGCUCGUAGCAAUACGGGCAACCGGCGAACGGGUGCGUAACACGUGAGCAACCUGCCGAUCUGCGGGGGAUAGCCGGCC